Molecule: ribosomal RNA, 498 nt
Filed under: uncultured bacterium
Lineage: Bacteria
Description: partial 16S ribosomal RNA
Rfam family: Bacterial small subunit ribosomal RNA
Source: RNAcentral
GACGAACGCUGGCGGCGUGCCUAAUACAUGCAAGUCGAACGAGAGCGACCGGUGCUUGCACUGGUCAAUCUAGUGGCGAACGGGUGAGUAACACGUGGGUAACCUGCCCCUCAGAGGGGGAUAACAUCCGGAAACGGAUGCUAAACCCGCAUAGGUCUUCGAACCGCAUGGUUUGAAGAGGAAAAGAGGCGCAAGCUUCUGCUGAUGGAUGGACCCGCGGUGCAUUAGCUAGUUGGUGAGGUAACGGCUCACCAAGGCCGUGAUGCAUAGCCGACCUGAGAGGGUGAUCGGCCACAUUGGGACUGAGACACGGCCCAAACUCCUACGGGAGGCAGCAGUAGGGAAUCUUCCGCAAUGGACGCAAGUCUGACGGAGCAACGCCGCGUGAGUGAAGAAGGUUUUCGGAUCGUAAAACUCUGUUGUUAGAGAAGAACAAGUGCUAGAGUAACUGUUAGCGCCUUGACGGUAUCUAACCAGAAAGCCACGGCUAACUACGUG